RNAcentral lists this signal recognition particle RNA (307 nucleotides) under Rosa chinensis. RNAcentral describes it as "sRNA RchiOBHm_Chr1g0376231". It matches the Rfam family "Plant signal recognition particle RNA". The record is from Rfam by way of RNAcentral. Lineage: Eukaryota; Viridiplantae; Streptophyta; Magnoliopsida; Rosales; Rosaceae.
GCCGAGCUUGGUCACGCCAGCUUAUGACCCAAGUGGGGGCACGGGGGUGUUGGGACUUUGGUUCAGCAUUAGCUGGUUGGGUUCAGAAUGGCUAUAUUCUGACUCGCCCGUUCCAAGCAAAGAGUUGGGCUAUGUGGCUUGGGCGAAGGCUCUGGGCUUCAUGGUUCCUAAAGAGGAGGGCAAUGCGUGAGGCUGGUUUCACAGAGCAGCGAUCACCUCCCUCUCUUUGCAGUGGAAGGAUAACGUGUCGGUGCCUUCUGCAUCCCACCAUGACCCGCUAGGCUGCUCCAUUCGAACCAACACUUUU